Molecule: transfer RNA, 73 nt
Filed under: Serpula lacrymans var. lacrymans S7.3
Lineage: Eukaryota; Fungi; Basidiomycota; Agaricomycetes; Boletales; Serpulaceae
Rfam family: tRNA
About the family: Transfer RNA (tRNA) molecules are approximately 80 nucleotides in length. Their secondary structure includes four short double-helical elements and three loops (D, anti-codon, and T loops). Further hydrogen bonds mediate the characteristic L-shaped molecular structure. tRNAs have two regions of fundamental functional importance: the anti-codon, which is responsible for specific mRNA codon recognition, and the 3' end, to which the tRNAs corresponding amino acid is attached (by aminoacyl-tRNA synthetases). tRNAs cope with the degeneracy of the genetic code in two manners: having more than one tRNA (with a specific anti-codon) for a particular amino acid; and 'wobble' base-pairing, i.e. permitting non-standard base-pairing at the 3rd anti-codon position.
Source: Rfam by way of RNAcentral
GGGCUGGUAGCUCAGUUGGUUAAAGCACCGCCAUAUAUUGUCAAGGUCCUGGGUUCAAUCCCCGGCUGGUCCA